GAUGAACGCUGGCGGCGUGCCUAAUACAUGCAAGUCGAGCGAACGGACGAGAAGCUUGCUUCUCUGAUGUUAGCGGCGGACGGGUGAGUAACACGUGGAUAACCUACCUAUAAGACUGGGAUAACUUCGGGAAACCGGAGCUAAUACCGGAUAAUAUUUUGAACCGCAUGGUUCAAAAGUGAAAGACGGUCUUGCUGUCACUUAUAGAUGGAUCCGCGCUGCAUUAGCUAGUUGGUAAGGUAACGGCUUACCAAGGCAACGAUGCAUAGCCGACCUGAGAGGGUGAUCGGCCACACUGGAACUGAGACACGGUCCAGACUCCUACGGGAGGCAGCAGUAGGGAAUCUUCCGCAAUGGGCGAGAGCAUGACGGAGCAACGCCGCGUGAGUGAUGAAGGUCUUCGGAUCGUAAAACUCGGUUAUUAGGGAAGAACAGAUGUGUAAGUAACUGUGCACAGCUUGACGGUACCUAAUCAGAAAGCCACGGCUAACUACGUG
Molecule: ribosomal RNA, 497 nt
Filed under: uncultured bacterium
Lineage: Bacteria
Description: partial 16S ribosomal RNA
Rfam family: Bacterial small subunit ribosomal RNA
Source: RNAcentral